This 776-nucleotide ribosomal RNA is filed under the name uncultured Mycoplasma sp. RNAcentral describes it as "bacterial SSU rRNA". It matches the Rfam family "Bacterial small subunit ribosomal RNA", at positions 708 to 1509 of the family's 1533-position model. The record is from RNAcentral. Lineage: Bacteria; Bacillati; Mycoplasmatota; Mollicutes; Mycoplasmatales; Mycoplasmataceae.
ACAUGGCGAAGGCAGCUAACUGGACAUACACUGACACUGAGAGACGAAAGCGUGGGGAGCAAACAGGAUUAGAUACCCUGGUAGUCCACGCCCUAAACGUUGAUCAUUAGCUGAUGGGGAACUCAUCGGCGCAGCUAACGCAUUAAAUGAUCCGCCUGAGUAGUACGUUCGCAAGAAUAAAACUUAAAGGAAUUGACGGGGACCCGCACAAGCGGUGGAGCAUGUGGUUUAAUUUGAAGAUACGCGUAGAACCUUACCCACUCUUGACAUCUUCUGCAAAGCUAUAGAGAUAUAGUGGAGGUUAACAGAAUGACAGAUGGUGCAUGGUUGUCGUCAGCUCGUGUCGUGAGAUGUUCGGUUAAGUCCUGCAACGAGCGCAACCCUUACCCUUAGUUACUAACAUUCAGUUGAGCACUCUAGGGAGACUGCCCGAGUAAUCGGGAGGAAGGUGGGGACGACGUCAAAUCAUCAUGCCUCUUACGAGUGGGGCCACACACGUGCUACAAUGGCCGGUACAAAGUGAAGCAACCUGGUGACAGUGAGCAAACCACAAAAAGCCGGUCUCAGUUCGGAUUGGAGUCUGCAACUCGACUCCAUGAAGUCGGAAUCGCUAGUAAUCGUAGAUCAGCUACGCUACGGUGAAUACGUUCUCGGGUCUUGUGCACACCGCCCGUCAAACCAUGGGAGCUGGUAAUGCCCGAAGUCGGUUUAUUAACAAACUGCCUAAGGCAGGACUGGUGACUGGGGUUAAGUCGUAACAAGGUAUCCCUAUCCUU